Non-coding RNA from Vicia faba (fava bean), 270 nucleotides. The record is from the annotation of a GenBank genome assembly. Lineage: Eukaryota; Viridiplantae; Streptophyta; Magnoliopsida; Fabales; Fabaceae.
AUGAAAAGAGAUGUUGCACUAGAAAGGAAGAGGUUUACCGAAACAUGCGGCAACGGGGAAUAUUUGCAAAUCUCUUCCUUUCCAGAACUUCAUCUUCACUCUUGUCAUCUCGAUGUUCCUCACGGGGAAAUAGUUGCAAACCCUUUCCAGAGCUUCAUUGUCAUCUCGAUAUUCCUGACGUGGAAAUAUUUGCAAACCUCUUCUUUCCUAGCACUUCAUAGGGAAAUAUUUGCAAACCCUUUCUUUCCAAAACUUCAUCCUCGCACUUGA